UGGGGGAUAUUGCACAAUGGGCGAAAGCCUGAUGCAGCGACGCCGCGUGGGGGAUGAAGGCCUUCGGGUUGUAAACUUCUUUUGCUCUGAACAAGGCAUGCUAAUGGGUGUGUUGAGUGUAGGGGUUGAUUAGCGCCGGCUAACUACGUGCCAGCAGCCGCGGUAAUACGUAGGGCGCGAGCGUUGUCCGGAAUUAUUGGGCGUAAAGGGCUUGUAGGUGGCUGGUUGCGUAUGUCGUGAAAGCUCAUGGCUUAACUGUGGGUUUGCGGUGGGUACGGGCUGGCUUGAGUGCAGUAGGGGAGGCUGGAAUUCCUGGUGUAGCGGUGGAAUGCGCAGAUAUCAGGAGGAAUACCGGUGGCGAAGGCGGGUCUCUGGGCUGUUACUGACACUGAGGAGCGAAAGCAUGGGGAGCGAACAGG
RNAcentral lists this ribosomal RNA (419 nucleotides) under bacterium. RNAcentral's name for it is "partial 16S ribosomal RNA". It matches the Rfam family "Bacterial small subunit ribosomal RNA", at positions 355 to 776 of the family's 1533-position model. The record is from RNAcentral.